This 253-nucleotide ribosomal RNA is filed under the name uncultured bacterium. Its description in RNAcentral is "partial 16S ribosomal RNA". It matches the Rfam family "Bacterial small subunit ribosomal RNA", at positions 524 to 776 of the family's 1533-position model. The record is from RNAcentral.
UACGGAGGGUGCAAGCGUUAUCCGGAUUCACUGGGGUUAAAGGGUGCGUAGGUGGGUUGGUAAGUCAGUGGUGAAAUCCCCGAGCUUAACUUGGGAACUGCCAUUGAUACUAUUAAUCUUGAAUACCGUGGAGGUUAGCGGAAUAUGUCAUGUAGCGGUGAAAUGCUUAGAUAUGACAUAGAACACCAAUUGCGAAGGCAGCUGGCUACACGAAUAUUGACACUGAUGCACGAAAGCGUGGGGAUCAAACAGG